Molecule: long non-coding RNA, 413 nt
Organism: Oncorhynchus tshawytscha (Chinook salmon)
Lineage: Eukaryota; Metazoa; Chordata; Actinopteri; Salmoniformes; Salmonidae
Source: Ensembl
UGUUGACGUUGAGACUGGACACAGGAACUCUGCCUAGAAGGCCAGCAUCCCAGAGUCGCCUCUUCACUGUUGACGUUGAGACUGGACACAGGAACUCUGCCUAGAAGGCCAGCAUCCCAGAGUCGCCUCUUCACUGUUGACGAUUAGACUGGACACAGGAACUCUGCCUAGAAGGCCAGCAUCCCAGAGUCGCCUCUUCACUGUUGACGUUGAGACUGGACACAGGAACUCUGCCUAGAAGGCCAGCAUCCCAGAGUGGCCUCUUCACUGUUGACGUUGAGACUGGACACAGGAACUCUGCCUAGAAGGCCAGCAUCCCAGAGUCGCCUCUUCACUGUUGACGAUUAGACUGGACACAGGAACUCUGCCUAGAAGGUCAGCAUCCCAGAGUCGCCUCUUCACUGUUGACGUUG